GACGAACGCUGGCGGCGUGCUUAACACAUGCAAGUCGAACGGUAAGGCCCUUCGGGGUACACGAGUGGCGAACGGGUGAGUAACACGUGGGUGAUCUGCCCUGCACUUCGGGAUAAGCCUGGGAAACUGGGUCUAAUACCGGAUAGGACCCUGGGAUGCAUGUCCUGGGGUGGAAAGCUUUUUGGGUGUGGGAUGGGCCCGCGGCCUAUCAGCUUGUUGGUGGGGUGAUGGCCUACCAAGGCGACGACGGGUAGCCGGCCUGAGAGGGUGACCGGCCACACUGGGACUGAGAUACGGCCCAGACUCCUACGGGAGGCAGCAGUGGGGAAUAUUGCACAAUGGGCGCAAGCCUGAUGCAGCGACGCCGCGUGAGGGAUGACGGCCUUCGGGUUGUAAACCUCUUUCAGCACCGACGAAGCGCAAGUGACGGUAGGUGCAGAAGAAGGACCGGCCAACUACGUGCCAGCAGCCGCCGCAG
This 478-nucleotide ribosomal RNA is filed under the name uncultured bacterium. RNAcentral's name for it is "partial 16S ribosomal RNA". It matches the Rfam family "Bacterial small subunit ribosomal RNA", at positions 28 to 523 of the family's 1533-position model. The record is from RNAcentral.